UGAGGCGCCUGGUCCUGGGGACCUCUUUCCACUCUUUACUCUCAAGAUAGGAGGAUGGGUCUGGGGGAUUGUUUUUGGUUUUCUGGUUUUGUUUUACUCUGGUUUGGUCGGUUUUGUAUUUUUCUAUUUUUCCUUUUUUUCCCUUUUUUCUUUUUUGAUUUUUCUUUCCCGUUAUUCUCCCAGCCAAAAGCUACCUUCGACCCUUUUGAUUUGAUGUAGCAAAGAGUGUGUGUCCAGAUUAUCUGAAAUUGACACUGAAGAAGCCGGUCUUCAACAUCCUUUUGGUUCCUGAGCGUCAGCCCUGCCCUGAUGCACCUGUUCCUGAGCCCCCUUCCUGGGGAACCCUCGCCAGGCAUUCUCUCCUUACCCUUCCAAUUCAGAGAUCUUGACCUGCAAGAGCGGACAACAACGUGACUCAGGCUGGGACCACUGAGCCUACCUAGGUCACAGGGAGGAAAAAAGGGACCGCAGAACAGCAGAGAUAGGACCUCCCAACCCUGCGCCAGCUGGCAGCUCCCUGCCAGAGAAGCAGAGACAUCCCUCCUUCCUCCCUUCCCCCAUAAGAGCCAAAGGCUCGAAGGCCGAACCUCCCGCCGCCGUCAGCCCACGGGGGCAGCUCUCAGAGAGCCAGGGAGGAGUUGUGAUGAGGGGA
RNAcentral lists this non-coding RNA (652 nucleotides) under Homo sapiens (human). Lineage: Eukaryota; Metazoa; Chordata; Mammalia; Primates; Hominidae. The record is from RNAcentral.